This 482-nucleotide ribosomal RNA is filed under the name uncultured bacterium. RNAcentral describes it as "partial 16S ribosomal RNA". It matches the Rfam family "Bacterial small subunit ribosomal RNA", at positions 899 to 1397 of the family's 1533-position model. The record is from RNAcentral.
ACUCAAAUGAAUUGACGGGGACCCGCACAAGCAGCGGAGCGUGUGGUUUAAUUCGAUGCAACGCGAAGAACCUUACCAGGACUUGACAUGCAACUGCACCGCUCGUAAUGGAGCGUCCCUUCGGGGCGAUUGCACAGGUGCUGCAUGGCUGUCGUCAGCUCGUGUCGUGAGAUGUUGGGUUCAGUCCCGCAACGAGCGCAACCCCUGCCGCUAGUUACUCUGUCUAGCGGGACCGCCGCGAUCAACGCGGAGGAAGGCGGGGAUGACGUCAAGUCAGCACGGCCCUUACGUCCUGGGCUACACACACGCUACAAUGGUCGGUACAACGGGCCGCCAACCCGCAAGGGGGAGCCAAUCCCAACAAAACCGGCCUCAGUUCAGAUUGUAGGCUGAAACCCGCCUGCAUGAAGGAGGAGUUGCUAGUAACCGUGGGUCAGCACACUACGGUGAAUACGUUCCCGGGUCUUGCACACACCGCCCGU